AUGUCAAACAACAACCCAGUUUUCACCAGUACAUUUGUCACCAAUGACCAAGAGAAGUAUUUUAUUGAUAACAUAGUCGAUAAAUCUAUGGUUACUCGUGGUGUAAUUGACGUCUCAGGUCAAAGAAAAACGUUCAUUUGGUCGGAGGGCUCACAGGACUGGACAAUGAUCUAUGCCCAACCGAAACUUCAGUGUGAUGUCUAUGCAAUCUGUGGACCUUUCACAAUUUGCAAUGAUAACGCGCUUCCACAUUGCAAUUGCAUGGAGGGCUUCACCAUGACAUCCCCCAAGGAUUGGGAGCUAGAAGAUCGAACUGGUGGGUGCUCAAGAAAUACUCCGUUAGACUGCAUUAGCAACAAAAGCACAACUCAUACAACAGACAAGUUCUACUCUGUGCAAUGUGUUGAGUUGCCCAACAAUGCCUCAAAACUAGAAGCUGCUGCAAGCACGAGUGAGUGUGCACAAGUUUGCCUCAGUAAUUGCUCUUGCACCGCAUAUUCCUUCAACAAUGAAAGAUGCUCUAUCUGGCAUAAUGAAUUGCUCAAUAUAAGAGCGCUAGAAUGUAGUGGCACUUCAAGUUCAACUGGAGAAACUCUUCACCUUCGUGUUUCUGCUAAAGAUUUCCACAUAGUGAAAAACAACAGAAAGGAGAUUGUUAUUGGAGUUGCAACUGGUGCAGGUGUUUCUGCUCUGGGUUUAUGUGCACUUCUUAUCCUGGUAAAGAUUUGGAGAAACAAGAGUAAGAGCUCUAACCGUAUACUGGAUGGUGUUCAAGGCUGUAACAGAAUCAUUGCAUUUAGAUACACUGAUUUACAACGUGCCACGACAAAAUUCACAGAUAAGUUAGGGGCAGGCAGUUUUGGUUCUGUUUUCAAGGGGGUUUUAAAUGACUCAACUGGCAUAGCCGUGAACAGGCUUGACGGUGCUUAUCAAGGAGAGAAGCAAUUUAGAGCUGAAGUGAGCUCGAUUGGAGCUAUCCAGCACAUCAAUCUAGUUAAGCUUAUUGGUUUCUGUUGUGAGGGUUCUAAGAGGUUGCUUGUUUAUGAACACAUGCCAAAUCGCUCACUGGAUGUCCAUCUAUUUGGAAACAAGUCUAUGAUAUUGAAUUGGACAGUUAGGUAUCAGAUGGCCCUGGGAGUUGCCAGAGGGUUAGCCUACUUGCAUGAGAGUUGUCGGGACUGCAUCAUACACUGUGAUAUUAAGCCAGAAAACAUACUUCUCGAUACUUUAUUCGUUCCCAAAAUUGCAGACUUUGGGAUGGCAAAGCUUUUCAGAAGGGAUUAUAGCCGAGUACUGACUACGAUAAGAGGAACUGUAGGGUACCUUGCACCUGAAUGGAUUACUGGAGUUGCAAUUACACCAAAAGUUGAUGUCUAUAGCUAUGGGAUGAUGUUGCUGGAAAUAAUAUCUGGAAAGAGGAACUCAUGUGCACCAUGUUCUAGUGGUGGCAACCUUGAUGUUUAUUUUCCUGUGCAUGCCGCACAUAAGCUUCUUGAAGGAGACGUCGGGAGUUUGGUAGAUCAAAUGCUACAUGGUGAUGUCAAUCUGGAUGAGGCCGAACUGGCAUGCAAGGUUGCAUGUUGGUGCAUCCAAGACAAUGAGCUUGAUCGACCAACAAUGGGACAUGUAGUUCAGAUCAUCGAAGGGCUAGUUGAGAUCGGGAUGCCCCCGUUACCAAGACUGCUCGAAGCUAUGGCUGGAAGCUCGCACUCAGCUCGGUCCUAA
Molecule: ribosomal RNA, 1725 nt
Filed under: Triticum aestivum (bread wheat)
Lineage: Eukaryota; Viridiplantae; Streptophyta; Magnoliopsida; Poales; Poaceae
Description: partial small subunit ribosomal RNA
Source: RNAcentral